UCCAUGCCAAAUUGUCAAUAUCAAAUUGAAACCUCACGAAGCUAAUUAAGAAUUAAGUCAUUAAUCAUUCUGCCAAAUAAGUUAAAUAACAAAUAUUAUUUCUGAUUUCUCAUUGAUAGAAGCAUGAUACAUUUAUCUAUUUUCAAAUUUUCAAUUCUCGGCCGCAAUACACAAUUCAACCAUUACACUGUCACAUGCCACACCCACUAAACUAUAUCUGCCCACCAUUUUGAACUCCACCACCAACACCAAGUAUAUACAUCAACAGUCCACAAAAUCAAUCCAAACAGUCUAACACAGUAAGACUAACACAAAAUACAAACUUUGUACAAAGUACAAACACACGGGCCAUGACAUAAAUAAAAAAAAAAAAAACACUUGUAGACUGCACACUGCAGCACCAAAGAUGACAGCAUUCGAGGGGCUAACGAUGGCGUCAUUGUGCUUGAGGUGAGGGGCUGUGCUAGGAGGUCGUGCACGCGAGGAAGAGAGGGGCUGUGCUAGGCGCUGUGCACGCAAGGGAAGAGAGGGGCUGAGCUGACGCGAGGCAGAGAGGCGAGGGAGAGAGGCGUGGGAGAGAGGUCUGAGGCUCUGUGCCGUGUGGAGAGGGAGAAACGCGAGGCGAGGGAGAGAGGCAUGGGAGAGGGUCAGUGACUGCAAAUUGAAAUUUAGGAUUAAGAAGAGAACUUUUAUAUUUUCAAUUAAUAACUGAACCGAUCGAUUAAAUCGAACCGAACAAAAAACAAUCGGUUUAUUUGUUUAAGAACCUUUCAGUUUUUCUCAUAAAACCGAACCGAACUAAACUAAACUAAAAAAUUCUGUUCAAUUCGGUAAAAAAUGGAACAGUUUGCCUACCCUUAAUUUUAGCCCAUUGUGACGCGUUAUGUUCAUGUGAUGGAAAACGCCCGC
RNAcentral lists this long non-coding RNA (909 nucleotides) under Citrus sinensis (sweet orange). RNAcentral describes it as "long non-coding RNA (CSIN_LNC000712)". Lineage: Eukaryota; Viridiplantae; Streptophyta; Magnoliopsida; Sapindales; Rutaceae. The record is from RNAcentral.